This 77-nucleotide transfer RNA is filed under the name Candidatus Hydrogenedentes bacterium ADurb.Bin101. RNAcentral's name for it is "tRNA-Gly". The record is from RNAcentral. Lineage: Bacteria; Pseudomonadati; Candidatus Hydrogenedentota.
CGGCGUAUAGGCCAGCGUGGCCCAGUCCGCCGCAUUUCCAAUUCGGUAGGGAUUGGGUUCGAUGCCCACGCCGCCGC